RNAcentral lists this ribosomal RNA (419 nucleotides) under bacterium. RNAcentral's name for it is "partial 16S ribosomal RNA". It matches the Rfam family "Bacterial small subunit ribosomal RNA", at positions 355 to 776 of the family's 1533-position model. The record is from RNAcentral.
UGGGGGAUAUUGCACAAUGGGCGCAAGCCUGAUGCAGCGACGCCGCGUGGGGGAUGAAGGCCUUCGGGUUGUAAACUUCUUUUGCUCUGAACAAGGCGCACUUUGGGGUGUGUUGAGUGUAGGGGUUGAUUAGCGCCGGCUAACUACGUGCCAGCAGCCGCGGUAAUACGUAGGGCGCGUGCGUUGUCCGGAAUUAUUGGGCGUAAAGGGCUUGUAGGUGGCUGGUUGCGUCUGUCGUGAAAGCUCAUGGCUUAACUGUGGGUUUGCGGUGGGUACGGGCUGGCUUGAGUGCAGUAGGGGAGGCUGGAAUUCCUGGUGUAGCGGUGGAAUGCGCAGAUAUCAGGAGGAAUACCGGUGGCGAAGGCGGGUCUCUGGGCUGUUACUGACACUGAGGAGCGAAAGCAUGGGGAGCGAACAGG